This 377-nucleotide unclassified non-coding RNA is filed under the name uncultured bacterium. Its description in RNAcentral is "contains 16S-23S intergenic spacer region". The record is from RNAcentral.
UCCAGCUUAUCGCUGGCGGUCUCCUGCGAGUGCCACGGCAUGACCCGGGGGCAACUAAAGACAGGGGUUGCGCUCGUUGCGGGACUUAACCCAACAUCUCACGACACGAGCUGACGACAACCAUGCACCACCUGUGCAGGGCCCCGAAGGACACCGUAUCUCUACGGCUUUUCCCUGCAUGUCAAGCCCAGGUAAGGUUCUUCGCGUUGCCUCGAAUUAAACCACAUGCUCCACCGCUUGUGCGGGCCCCCGUCAAUUCCUUUGAGUUUCAGCCUUGCGGCCGUACUCCCCAGGCGGGACACUUACUGCGUUAGCGACGGCACCGAGGGGGUCGCUCCCCCCGACGCCUAGUGUCCAUCGUUUACGGCGUGGACUAC